Molecule: ribosomal RNA, 426 nt
Filed under: uncultured Burkholderiales bacterium
Lineage: Bacteria; Pseudomonadati; Pseudomonadota; Betaproteobacteria; Burkholderiales
Description: bacterial SSU rRNA
Rfam family: Bacterial small subunit ribosomal RNA
Source: RNAcentral
GGGGAAUUUUGGACAAUGGGCGCAAGCCUGAUCCAGCCAUGCCGCGUGCGGGAAGAAGGCCUUCGGGUUGUAAACCGCUUUUGUCAGGGAAGAAACGGUCUGGGCUAAUACCCUGGACUAAUGACGGUACCUGAAGAAUAAGCACCGGCUAACUACGUGCCAGCAGCCGCGGUAAUACGUAGGGUGCAAGCGUUAAUCGGAAUUACUGGGCGUAAAGCGUGCGCAGGCGGCUUUGCAAGACAGAUGUGAAAUCCCCGGGCUCAACCUGGGAACUGCAUUUGUGACUGCAUGGCUAGAGUGCGGCAGAGGGGGAUGGAAUUCCGCGUGUAGCAGUGAAAUGCAUAGAUAUGCGGAGGAACACCGAUGGCGAAGGCAAUCCCCUGGGCCUGCACUGACGCUCAUGCACGAAAGCGUGGGGAGCAAACA